Long non-coding RNA from Oncorhynchus nerka (sockeye salmon), 1964 nucleotides. RefSeq lists it as uncharacterized. The record is from RefSeq and is a predicted model, not a curated record. Lineage: Eukaryota; Metazoa; Chordata; Actinopteri; Salmoniformes; Salmonidae. The transcript is spliced from 4 exons.
GUGAAGGGGUUGAGGAAGGAGGAGAGGACAAGGUGACCUCCUCAGCCAAACAUAGAGAGGGUGUCUCGGUGCUGCUUGGAGCACACGAGGAGAGCUGUCGAUAAUAUAAAGUGAAGCGCUCACAACUCAAUUGAACUUUGGUUUUAGUUUUAAAGAAGGAUAUCAAGACCUGCAAGGGAAUUGAACCGUCGACAGGCCCGACCAGAAGCACCAUGACCAGUGUUAACUCCCCCGCCUGCCUCCUGGCUCGUAACCAGUUCUAUCGAAACAAAACAAGCCCUACAGAGAGUAUAAAGCCUACUGCAGUCUACAGCCUCUCUGAUUGGUCAAUGCUCCAAGUACUGGUCUGGGUGACCAUGUCAACACAACCAGGGUUCCCAGGAGCAGGGGGGAUAUCUAAAGGAUGGUGGGUCAGUGUGGUUCUGGGGAGCCCCAAACCACGCACCGUCCAGCGCCCCCCCCCUCCAGCCCACCCUCACCCGGCGCCCCCAGUCCAGCACCCUGGUCCAGCGCCCCAGCCCACCACCCCUCCAGCCCACCCGGCGCCCCCAGUCCAGCACCCCGGUCCAGCGCCCCAGCCCACCACCCCUCCAGCCCACCCUCACCCGGCACCCCCAGCCAACAGAGCGGUCCAGUAAAGACACACCACCACCAAUCAACAGGUUGAAACACACAAAGGGAGAAGACACCUUCCACCCUGUCUGUCCUCUCAGCACAGAAAUAUGGACUUGAUCAAGCCAGUCGGUGUUGGACCUGUUUUACAUUUUGCAUCACACAAAAAGAAGCGAUUUCUGCAAGCGCUCUCUAAAACAGACGUCAGCCUUUAUUCAACCUCUAUUCGCCGAAGCGUUACAGAUCGCACGCUAUCGAAAUUUCUGAUUGAGCCGACAUAUUUCAGCGUUUUACCGUGAAUGCAGUCUCCACUAACAUCGCCUUUUAAAAUGUAAAUCACGCCGUAACGCUGAACUUCCGCGAUAUGGAUUGAAAAGACCCCCCUUUGUAUAUUAUUCCAUACAUUGAUAUAAGAUGUGAAUUCAAUCAAACACACAGUCCAGUUAUACCCCCCCCCCCCCUGCCCCUACUCUCCUCUUUCUUUGAUUAAUUUUCCCCCCUCACUUCCUUCCUUCGUUUCAUAACUGGUCCGCAGCCUGUUCUUCUCUGUGCAGCACCACUGAAGGGACAAGAUGUUUCCCCUUUUCUCCUGAUACUGGCUGGUUGCCAGGCAACAAUAUGGGAACAUUCAUACAUGAGUGGAAUAAAACAACUGCGUUUAGAUCAGACCAUAGAGCAACAACAACAACACAAAGGUAUAGACAUUAAUCAAAUAAGAUCUGAUUACAGAUCAGAUUCACCAAACUCCUACAGCAGGAACCUGUUGACAUGAGUCAGAUUCGGAUUUGUUUACUGUAACAGUAUUUGCUUUCGGAGCAGCAUGGUAGUUGAAUAAAAUCUCCUUGUACAUUGCAAGAACCUGUUAGAGAGAGCUAGAGAGAGAGACAGGCAGCAGAAACCUGUAGCCUGGUUCAGAGCUAGAGAGAGAGACAGGCAGCAGAAACCUGUAGCCUGGUUCAGAGCUAGAGAGAGACAGGCAGCAGAAACCUGUAGCCUGGUUCAGAGCUAGAGAGAGACAGGCAGCAGAAACCUGUAGCCUGGUUCAGAGCUAGAGAGAGACAGGCAGCAGAAACCGAUUGCCUGAUUCAGAGCUAGAGAGAGACAGGCAGCAGAAACCUGUUGCCUGGUUCAGAGCUAGAGAGAGACAGGCAGCAGAAACCUGUUAGAGAGAGCUAGAGAGAGACAGGCAGCAGAAACCUGUUAGAGAGAGCUAGAGAGAGACAGGCAGCAGAAACCUGUUGCCUGGUUCAGAGCUAGAGAGAGACAGGCAGCAGAAACCUGUUAGAGAGAGCUAGAGAGAGACAGGCAGCAGAAACCUGUUGCCUGGUUCAGAGCUAGAGAGAGACAGGCAG